GGAUGAGAGGGUGAUCUGACGGGGACAGCUGUCAUCCGUCAUCCCAUUGACCUUGAGGUUAAUUCACCUGAUCUGGCUGGCUGAGUAAGGGUCAUUUCCAUCCGCCCUCACUACCCCAUGGGCAUCCCCUUUGAAACUCCUUGAAUGAUAAUACUAAAAAAAGAAGAGAACACUUCUUUCAUCAGGAAUGUCUAUUCACUCUUUCAACAAAUGUUUAUUCAACUUCAUUUAUCAAAUAUUAUCUAAU
Molecule: small RNA, 247 nt
Filed under: Castor canadensis (American beaver)
Lineage: Eukaryota; Metazoa; Chordata; Mammalia; Rodentia; Castoridae
Description: 7SK RNA (ENSCCNG00000001003.1)
Source: RNAcentral